Molecule: ribosomal RNA, 433 nt
Filed under: uncultured bacterium
Lineage: Bacteria
Description: partial 16S ribosomal RNA
Rfam family: Bacterial small subunit ribosomal RNA
Source: RNAcentral
AACGAACGCUGGCGGCAUGCCUAACACAUGCAAGUCGAACGAGACCUUCGGGUCUAGUGGCGCACGGGUGCGUAACGCGUGGGAACCUGCACUUAGGUUCGGAAUAACUCCCCGAAAGGGGUGCCAAUACCGGAUAAUGUCUUCGGACCAAAGAUUUAUCGCCUUUGGAUGGGCCCGCGUUGGAUUAGCUUGUUGGUAGGGUAAAAGCCUACCAAGGCGACGAUCCAUAGCUGGUCUGAGAGGAUGAUCAGCCACACUGGGACUGAGACACGGCCCAGACUCCUACGGGAGGCAGCAGAGGGGAAUAGUGGACAAUGGGCGAAGGCCUGAUCCAGCAAUGCCGCGUGAGUGAUGAAGGCCGUAGGGUUGUAAUGCUCUUUUACCCGGGAUGAUAAUGACGGUACCGGGAGAAUAAGCCCCGGCUAACUCCGUG